GAUGAACGCUGGCGGCGUGCCUAAUACAUGCAAGUCGAACGCUGGAAAUCUAGCUUGCUAGAUUGAAGGAGUGGCGAACGGGUGAGUAAUACAUAAGCAACCUACCCACGAAGACUGGGAUAAUCUCUGGAAACGGGGACUAAUACCGGAUAGGUAAUCGGAAGGCAUCUUCUGAUUAUUAAAGGUUAAAAACACUGGUGGAUGGGCUUAUGGCGCAUUAGUUAGUUGGUGAGGUAACGGCCCACCAAGACGAUGAUGCGUAGCCGGCCUGAGAGGGUGAACGGCCACAUUGGGACUGAGACACGGCCCAGACUCCUACGGGAGGCAGCAGUAGGGAAUUUUCGGCAAUGGGGGGAAACCCUGACCGAGCAACGCCGCGUGAGUGAUGACGGCCUUCGGGUUGUAAAGCUCUGUUGUAAGGGAAGAACGGUAGAUAGAGAAUAUCUAAAUGACGGUACCUUACCAGAAAGCCACGGCUAACUACGUG
This 487-nucleotide ribosomal RNA is filed under the name uncultured bacterium. Its description in RNAcentral is "partial 16S ribosomal RNA". It matches the Rfam family "Bacterial small subunit ribosomal RNA", at positions 28 to 507 of the family's 1533-position model. The record is from RNAcentral.